AACGAACGCUGGCGGCAUGCCUAACACAUGCAAGUCGAACGAAGGCUUCGGCCUUAGUGGCGCACGGGUGCGUAACGCGUGGGAAUCUGCCCUUGGGUUCGGAAUAACAGUUAGAAAUGACUGCUAAUACCGGAUGAUGUCGUAAGACCAAAGAUUUAUCGCCCAGGGAUGAGCCCGCGUAAGAUUAGGUAGUUGGUGGGGUAAAGGCCUACCAAGCCGACGAUCUUUAGCUGGUCUGAGAGGAUGAUCAGCCACACUGGGACUGAGACACGGCCCAGACUCCUACGGGAGGCAGCAGUGGGGAAUAUUGGACAAUGGGCGAAAGCCUGAUCCAGCAAUGCCGCGUGAGUGAUGAAGGCCUUAGGGUUGUAAAGCUCUUUUACCAGGGAUGAUAAUGACAGUACCUGGAGAAUAAGCUCCGGCUAACUCCGCG
RNAcentral lists this ribosomal RNA (433 nucleotides) under uncultured bacterium. Its description in RNAcentral is "bacterial SSU rRNA". It matches the Rfam family "Bacterial small subunit ribosomal RNA", at positions 29 to 507 of the family's 1533-position model. The record is from RNAcentral.